AAGGGACUCCAGGGGGGGCCGUGUCCUCCCUGCGUUUCCAGAGAGGUGGAAAGGAGGCCUUAUGAAACUGAGAAAUAAAACCAACUAGAAUUUUGAAUAAAACUAAAAUUUAAUUGACUAAAACAGACAGUUAAAGGUCUAAGGUUUAUUAUAUUAUAGCACAGAAUCUGGAGUCAACUUUUGGAGUGUUGAUGGAGAUUUCAAUGAUUAGUGUGUUUGCAAGAAGAACAGUCAAUAAAAUGAAUAAAAUUCAUGGAAAGAUCAAGAAAUGUGAACAACACAACUAUUUAUCAACUGUAAUAAAGGAGCUGAUGAGAGACAUUUUUGCAAUUUAUUUUAAUAACAGAGAAAAAUAAAAGAUAAUGGGAAAAGAAAAUCAACAACCGGCUGGGGAGAUCAGGACAUACAGAGGUG
This is a long non-coding RNA of Betta splendens (Siamese fighting fish), 414 nucleotides long. RefSeq lists it as uncharacterized. The transcript has 2 exons. The record is from RefSeq and is a predicted model, not a curated record. Lineage: Eukaryota; Metazoa; Chordata; Actinopteri; Anabantiformes; Osphronemidae.